Molecule: ribosomal RNA, 255 nt
Filed under: uncultured bacterium
Lineage: Bacteria
Description: partial 16S ribosomal RNA
Rfam family: Bacterial small subunit ribosomal RNA
Source: RNAcentral
GACGAAGGGGGGCUAGCGUUGUUCGGAAUUACUGGGCGUAAAGCGCGUGUAGGCGGUUGCCCAAGUCGGGUGUGAAAGCCUUGAGCUCAACUCAAGAAAUGCACUCGGUACUGGGUGACUAGAGGACCGGAGAGGAUAGUGGAAUUCCCAGUGUAGUGGUGAAAUACGUAGAGAUUGGGAAGAACACCAGUGGCGAAGGCGGCUAUCUGGACGGUUUUCUGACGCUAAGACGCGAAAGCGUGGGGAGCAAACAGG